CAGAGCGUGAGACUCUGCCCGGGCGCGUCCCGCGCGCAGAGUUGACCCUCCACCCGUGUUGACUGAUUUCAUGUUGCUUUGGCGGGCCCGGUGCUUUGCGCCGACCGGCUUCGUGCUGGCUCGUGUCCGCCAGAGACCCAACCUAACUCGUGUUGUCGUGUCGUCUGAAGUAGAAUUAUAUUGAAUUGUUAAAACUUUCAACAACGGAUCUCUUGGCUCUGGCAUCGAUGAAGAACGCAGCGAAAUGCGAUAAGUAAUGUGAAUUGCAGAAUUUAGUGAAUCAUCGAAUCUUUGAACGCACAUUGCGCCCCUUGGUAUUCCGAGGGGCAUGCCUGUUCGAGCGUCGUCACACCCCCUCAAGCCGCGCCGUGUGUGUGGUUUGGUGUUGGGGCUCGCCAGUUCGGCGGCCCUUAAAGACAGUGGCAGGGUCGCUGUGGUCUCUACGCGUAGUACGAUUCUCGCGACAGAGCUGCAGCGACUACGAGCCAACGAAACCCUUUUUUUUUUUUUCUUUGAAGGUUGACCUCGAAUCAGGUAGGGAUACCCGCUGAACUUAAGCAUAUCAAUAAGCGGAGGAAAAGAAACCAACCGGGAUUACCUCAGUAACGGCGAGUGAAGCGGUAACAGCUCAAAUUUGAAAUCUGGCUCCUGCGGAGUCCGAGUUGUAAUUUGUAGAAGAUGCUUUGGGAGGUAGGACCGGCCUAAGUUCCUUGGAACAGGACAUCAGAGAGGGUGAGAAUCCCGUAUGCGGCCGAGGCCUAUGCCCGUGUAAAGCUCUUUCGACGAGUCGAGUUGUUUGGGAAUGCAGCUCAAAAUGGGUGGUAAAUUUCAUCUAAAGCUAAAUAUUGGCCAGAGACCGAUAGCGCACAAGUAGAGUGAUCGAAAGAUGAAAAGCACUUUGGAAAGAGAGUUAAACAGUACGUGAAAUUGUUGAAAGGGAAGCGCUUGCACCCAGACUUGGGCGUCGUCGAUCAUCCGAGGUUCUCCUCGGUGCACUCGGCGAUGCGCAGGCCAGCAUCGGUUUGGGUGGUUGGAGAAAGGCCUCUAGGAACGUAGCUCUCUUCGGGGAGUGUUAUAGCCUAGGGCGUAAUGCAGCCCAUCCGGACCGAGGACCGCGCCUUUGGGCUAGGAUGCUGGCGUAAUGGUUGCAAGCGACCCGUCUUGAAACACGGACCAAGGAGUCUAACAUCUAUGCGAGUGUUUGGGCGUUAAACCCAUACGCGGAAUGAAAGUGAACGUAGGUGAG
This 1246-nucleotide ribosomal RNA is filed under the name Golovinomyces neosalviae. RNAcentral describes it as "eukaryotic LSU rRNA". The stretch from base 521 to 1246 matches the Rfam family "Eukaryotic large subunit ribosomal RNA", at positions 1 to 739 of the family's 3401-position model. Lineage: Eukaryota; Fungi; Ascomycota; Leotiomycetes; Helotiales; Erysiphaceae. The record is from RNAcentral.